UCGUUUUUUUCUCUAUAAAGUCAUGUGUACUAGAUAUUCAAUUGUGCGUGUGGAAAAACGAGGGAGCAAACAUGCGAUUUCUGAUUUUUUCAGAAAACCGGCUCGGAAGCAGACGUUUCCCUAAUCGAACCGAACGCGUCUCAACGUUCGUCGUGGUUUGGAUUAUAUACGAAAAACGUAUAGUAAUCCUCAUGACUACAUUUAAUUCGUGAACUUGAGUAACUAUACUUGCUUCCUUUUAUAUACUUGCUUUCCGUCAUUUCUAUGGUUUAGGUUUUCGUUUUCAAUCUCCAAAUGUGACUCUGCCAUUUCUAGGGUUUAGGUUUUCGUUUUCCGUCUCCAAAUGUGACCCUGUGGUGCGGUGCAGGCGUGCUCCUUGUUUCAUUUUCCCCUCUCUCUCUCACAGGAGUGGUCAUAAGUUCUUGUUUCGAUCUCUCUCUCUGUUUUUUUUUAUUGUGUUCAUCACAUCAUAGAGAUGCCGUGAGGAGGAAGCAUCAGGUUCUUGAGUGUAGGGUUUCUUUCCGUUACACAAAAAGAUGAGAGAUAUUUACUUAAUGGUUCGUAUUCUCUGAGCAUCUUCUCUGAUUCUCUUAGUAAUAGAACAUAGCUUGGGGUCUGUAACGGCAUUGGAACUACUAAAGUUUUGACCCUUUUCCAGCCCCUUUCCGAUGAUUAAUCCAUACUUUGUUUUAAUUAAUGACUAAUUAGUAGUUUACUGUCUUUCUAUUUUUUGAGGGAUUCUGAUAAUUAUAACCGAUUUAUUUUAUUUGUAUAUUUAAGGUUUUGUUCCACUUGUGAAAUGACAAUUUUGUGUUAUUGUCAUCAUUGUUGAUAACUUGAUAUUUUUACAUAUUUAAGGUUUUGAUGUGUAUUAAAACAAACCAUGAGAAAUUUUAGCUCAAAUUCAUGCUCACUAGUGUAAGAUAUUGAUGUUCUUCUGCAGUGAUGAGAUGGAUAUUUGUUUCUUUUGAAUUUGAUUUAUGAAGAAUUAGUUUGUUGAAUGUUUUUUCGAUUUUAUCUCAAAACUAGAAGAUUCUACUCAUUGCUUUCUGAGAAAAUUUCUCAUGAAGGACCUAUGGAGGAAGUGACCCCGUGAUCUUUCGACAAGUUUGCCUUCAGAAAUUGAAGAAACAGAAAUGUUAUGUUCUGGGAAGUGAGAUUUCUGGCCUGGAAUUGAUUCCAGGCUGCAUGUCUCAAGGUUCUAACAAUAAACAUAAUUCAAUUCGUGUUUCCCCCGAGUUUUGUCAUCUAAUUUUAUUUUAGUUUUCUCCACAAGUGUUUGUCUGAAAAUUUAUUAAUUUUGAAGUUUCAAAAUUUGAUGGGUUUUGACGCGAAGGCCCCAGCAGAGAGGCAGACUGUUGAAUGAGUGAGGUCUCUCUAACCUCAUGACCUUCGCAUAUUGAAUUGUGAUGGGCCAUUUUCGUUAGAUGCAUGGAAACCUGUCACUGCAUCUGUAGUCAUGGCUUACACCUUAUAUAAUGGUGCCCCACCAUUCUGGUCUUCUGCAUCCUCCUUUUUUUUUUGUUUAUAUUAUCUUUUUUUUUCUUUCAGAUUUCUUGAGCUUCUUAUCGGUCUUUACAUCUUUUUUUUUCAAAUCAUUUUUGAAUCAGGUAACAUUUUUAAUAGUUUUGAAACCAUUUAUCUUUAGUACAAAGAUCUCGCCUUUCUUAGGUGUCGAAUUCGAUGGCUUUGGGUGUCUUAAAGUCCGAGAAAAUUUCUUUUAAAUUUUGAGUCUAGUUAAUGAUGCACCUACCUGAUUUAGAAUUUGACUGACAAUAGUGAUUGUGAUAUCUUUGUAUUAUAAAUAAUUUGUACUAUAAAUAAAUGGUCUUUUACUGUAAUAUAUAUCCAUGCAUUUUAUUCAAAAUUCUUUGUUUUUUUUUGAAAGAUGUAUAAUGCCUUUGACAUGCAGUCAGAUGUGCAGCUACAUCAACCUUAGAGAGUCAUGGUUGAUGGAGUGUAUAUUGUACAUUCAUAUGAAAUGGUCCUUACAAAGAUGACCCUAUUUAGGGGUUAUUUUGAUGAUCUUGCCCUACGUUUCUUUCACUUCUUUAAAAGCCUGGUUCCAUGUUAUUAUUUGUCCUAUUUAUCGUCUACCGGUAUGAUUACAAGUGAGGCGGCAGCUGGACAACUAUUUUUCCCAAAAUAUAGAAGUGAAUUUGGCCAUAAAAAUAAAAUAAAAAUAAAUAAGUGAAGAUAUUGGUCAAAUAUUAAAGUUAAGAAUGGGUGAUUUGGCCAAAUUUUAGGAAAAUUUUAAAAUAUAGAGAAAAUAGAGAACUACGGAGGAUUUUAAUGAAUGUCAAGAUUUUUGAGAUAUAACUGGGGUUUAUAUUAAGUGGGUAGAGUGAAUUGACGACAAAUCAUAAAAGAGUUUGAAAUUUUAACAAAAACUUGGUUAAGAAUUCCAGUAGAGUUGGCUAGUCGUACCAGUCCCACCGGUUUUGACCGAUUUUAUGAUAUUUUUUAUUGUUGAUUUAUGUAGACUAACUCGAAAUCCUAAUUUAUCUUUCUAGCCUCUUAAUUUAAUUUACCAAGGUCUUGGAAGGUGUUAAUUUUUUUAAAAUCACCGGCUGAUAUUGAGUUUGUCUAAUUCUAUAGGUUAUGUAUUGAUUGCCUAAUUCUAUAGGUUAUGUAUUGGCCAAUUUGUAUCUUGUGCAUUACAAAUCGGUAUUAAUCGGUUGCUAUGUAUAUUAAUUGGUGAUUUAUUAUAAAGAUUUGCAGAUUUAUGCACUAUUAUAGUGCAAGUUUUUUUUUGUAGGUCUCUACUAUUUUUUUUUUAAGCCUCUUUAUCUUUUUUUCAAUGUUUUGGAUUGUAUUAUUGAUCUGUUUUUUUUCUUCUCUACCUCUCUCUCUCUAGUUCUAUUUGGGUUGGAAACAAGGGCCCUACCUCUCCCUGUCUCUCUCUCGUUGGGGUUGCGCACCCCAACCUCCCUAUCCGUUAGGUUAGGGGCAUGCUCUAACCUGAACCUCUCUCUCUCUCAUGCGCUAAUGUCUCUCUGUCUCUCUCUCUCUCGCAUGCCCUAAUGUCUCUCUCUCUCGCUUGGGGCAAGGACCUAGUAUAAAAAAUUAAUUUCAUGUAUGUAUAUUAAUAUUGAAGAAGUGUGAUAUGAAUUUAAGUCUCCUAAAAAGAUUAUUGCUUUAAUUAUUAAGAAGUGUGAUAUGAAUUUAAGUCUCCUCAAUAAAAGCUUUAAUUAUUAGUUCAUUGAAAAAAGUAUUGAUUCAGGUGUCUAAAAUUUUUAUCUAAAACUCAAGUAUGCUUAUAAUAUCUUUUUACUUUGCUUAAUUUAUGUGACAAUAUGAAAGAAUAAUACAUGUAAAUUUUAAACCCUUUUUUUUCUUGAACUUUUUUGGGACUUCUUACCUCCAUUUCAUUUUGAACUCGACACUAAUCGGCUGAUUAAGUUGGAGUCGGUCUAACUAAUCAAGGUGGGCCAUAACCGACUAAUUGGCUGGACGUGUUUUUUUUAUAACACUGGUUUAUUUCUUAGCCCAUGUAUUGCUGUCUUUGGAGAGCACAUCAUGCAUUUACUCUUGUGGGCAUUAUUUGGGAGAUUUUUAUUUUUUUGAAAUUUCAGGAUGUCUAAAUAUAACUUGAUUAUUUUUUCAAAACCAAAAAAAAGAAAAAGAUUUUGAGUUAUUAAACAUCUAGAUCACUCCUAAGUCAAUCUUGGGAUGCUCUCAUAGAGUACAUGGAUAUUGUACUCAUUCUUUAGUAGUAAAUCUUUUUGGCAUAAUUUGUAUAGGGAAAAGUAUCUAGAUCACUCCUUCUAAGUUAAUAUUGGGAUGCCGUCAUGGAGUACAUGGAUAUUGUGCUCAUUCUUGAGUAGUAAAUCUUUUGGCAUAAUUUGUAUAUGGAAAAUCAUGGUUAUAAGAAAGUCAACGUUAUUUUCCAUUAGAUAUGCAGGCGCAUAAUUUGUAUAUGGAAAAGUAUUGGUAUAAUGUCACAAGCUUUCUUGUUCAUUAGAUGUUGAGUCGGGUUGUUGACUAAAAAUUAAAAUUUAAAAAAGUUCGGGUGUCUAUAAGAGUGUUAUUGAAUAGACUAACAGUUCUAAAAAUGUUGUUGAAGUUCAUGACAUACCUCAAGUUAUCUAAUGAAUUAUAGAAUUGUGACUUUUAUGUAAUAAAGACAUGGUUUGAAUUAUGUACUUGUGACUUUCUUGUAAUAAAGACAAAUUGUUUGAAUUAUGUAAUUGUGACUUUUUUGUAAUAAAGACGAAUAAAGAUAAAUAAUCUUAUAGUAUAUAAUUCUUUGUACAUGAUAGGAAUUUUUUAAUUUUUUUUUAGAGUUAUAGAUGUGAUUGGCGAAGGAGAGACCUAAAUUGCAUGGUUGCCUUUGCAUGUUAUAGUUGUGAAUGACCAAACGGAGCCCAAAUGUUUUUAAACUUUCAUUGUUGGAAAGAUACAUGUUUUACUCAAAUUUUUGUUUUGGAUUCACUUUAAAAUGCCUUAUGAAUUGAAAGUUAUUCUUGUGCUAAGUAGGAUAUGUCAUUGCCUCAAUUGCACAACAGAUUUCUGUUGGAAUAUUUCCAUUCUGAUGAGCUUUUGAAUGCUCAAAAGAGGUCCAAACGCUUCUCAACCACCUCCAUUUGAUAGAUAUGUGCGUCUAGUAUAAAAUUGGUUUUAGAACCGUCCCCGAAUUCCCAAUGGAUUAAAAGUGAUGACCAUGUUUAUGAUCGCACUUAGUUUAUGAUCUGACGUUACUGUUUGAAAUUGUAGGAAAUGUGAAUUGUGAUAUUGAAAUGUGGUAUUGUGAUACUGAAAAUGCGAUAUUGUGAAAUUGAUACUGUCAUACUGUGAUACUGAUAUUGUGAUAUUGCUAAUGUCUUAUUGUGAUACUGAUAUUGUCAUACUGUCAUACUGUUAUUGUCAUAUUGUGAUAUUGUUACUGUCAUAUUGUGAUAUUGUUACUGUUACUGUCAUAUUGUGAUACUGUUACUGUCAAUUGUGAUACUGCUAUUGCCAUACUGCUACUAUCAUAUUGAGAUACUGAUAUUGUCAUAAUGUGACACUGAUACUGUGAUAUUGUAAUGCUGAUAUUGUGAUACUGGAAAUGUGAUAAAGUGAUAUUGGGAUACUAAUGUGAUACUGACCACUACGCAAUGCGGCACUCCUUGGUAGUGGGUACGGUUAUACUGUUUUACACUGUUAUACUGAUAUUGUGAUAUUGGAAUUGCGAUAAUGUGAUACUGGGAUACUGAUGUGAUACUGACCACUACGCAAUGAGGCACCAAUUGGUAAUGGGUAUUGUUAUAUUGUUUUACACUAUGUUACUGAUACUGUAAGCCAUACUGAUGCUGACGACUACACAAUGGGCCACCCAUUGGUAGUGGGUACUGUGAAAUUGCUUUAUAUUGUGUUACUGUGAUACUAACCACUACGUAAUGGGACAACCAUUGGUAGUAAGUAAUGUGAUAUUCUUUAUAUUGGGAGAUGCUGUGCCUUUGACCACCAUACAAUGGGUCACAUGUUGGUGGUUGGAUACUGCUCUAUCGGCUAUUGAUUUGACUGUACCUCGACCCUAAUGAUAGGAAUGAGGUCGGGAAGUGAAACUAGAUAAUAGGGUAGGUCACUCCCUUUCCCAAUUAUUAUGGGCACUACGCAUUGGGAUACCCAAUGGUAGUGUAAUGCCUUCUCACUAGAAGGGCAUAAGGAGUAGGUCGUGUCUUGCAAGGUUACUGCUAAAGAAUACCCCAAAGCGUGUAGGGGAUGUGUGUGAGGGCAUUACGAAGUGAGACAUUCACUUGUCAUUGUCUUUCCUCUCGAAUGAGGGUAGAUGUUUCAAGCUACAAGAUUGGCUUGACCUAAUCGGUGGAACUUCUAUUUCAAGAGUAGGUUUCAUUAUCUUUUAUUAUGUAAAACUGUGAUAUGUCAGCUUUACUGUUCUGUUUAAGAUGAAAUGAUGUAUAACUUAUGCACUGUAUGUUCUUGAUAAUUGAACUGCAUUUAUUUUUAUAUUAUUAAAGUAUUGAAGGCAUAAUAGAGGAAGCUUUUUUUGAUAUCUUUGUAAAUUAGUGAGCACUGUUAUCUGCUAUCACCGGUUAUAAAGUUGGAAUGCAUUGGUGUAGAUUUGUUUACUGGGUUGUUAGCUCAUUCCAUUUCCUUCUCAUGAUUGUAGAGUGAUACCUGAAAAUCGAGCAGCUGAUCUGUGUGUUGGGCGGGUGAAGCUUGAAGUUCGGUGGAGUUGCUCUAAGAAGCUUUUCAUAAUAUGUAUUUGGUGGCUACGCCACUAUGAUGUUUCUGUAUUUUUGUGGGCUAGUAGUGCUUUGAAUCGAUUGUAAAGAAUUUUGGUGAAUGGAUGUAUAAAUGGAUAUGACUUUGUUUUGAAUUAAGAACAUUCUUGAUGAAUGGAUUUUAGUUUUAUUUUGUGGUUUGCUCUU
This 6377-nucleotide long non-coding RNA is filed under the name Amborella trichopoda. RNAcentral describes it as "long non-coding RNA (ATRI_LNC002485)". The record is from RNAcentral. Lineage: Eukaryota; Viridiplantae; Streptophyta; Magnoliopsida; Amborellales; Amborellaceae.